AAGUGAAAGACCGGGAGGCCUUCCAGAGACUCAACUUCCUUUACCAGGCUGCACACUGCGUCCUCUCUCAGAACCCCGAGAACCAGGCACUGGCUAGGUUUUACUGCCACACAGAGAAGACCAUCGCGAAGCGGCUGGUCCUACGGCAGUAAGGGACCCCUCUGUGAAGAGGACGCUCUGUCGCGACUGCUCCUCUCUCCUCAUCCCUGGCCUCACCUGCACGCAGCGCCAGAGACGCCGAAAGGGACAACGCUGGACAGUACAGACCUGUCUGACAUGCCAGCGAAGCCAGCGGUUCCUCAAUGACCCCAAGCAUCUCCUCUGGGGUGACCGGCCUGAAGCCCAGUUGGAAAAUCAGGCGGAUUUCAAACCGUCAGAGCCCCUGCCAAACAUAGCUGACCUUUCUAAGGAGAACGUGCAGACUCAGGCUUUAAACACCACUGAAUGAACUCAUCCAUUUUCCAGAUAAAUAAAGUUGAGUUGUUUGA
This 488-nucleotide long non-coding RNA is filed under the name Rattus norvegicus (Norway rat). RNAcentral's name for it is "long non-coding RNA NONRATT017019". The record is from RNAcentral. Lineage: Eukaryota; Metazoa; Chordata; Mammalia; Rodentia; Muridae.